UCGUAACAAGGUUUCCGUAGGUGAACCUGCGGAAGGAUCAUUACCGAGUGCGGGUUCCAACGAGCCCAACCUCCCACCCGUGUUUACCAUGACCGCGUUGCCUCGGCGGGCCCACUGGGGCCUGGCCCCGGUCGCCGGGGGGCUUCUGCCCCCGGGUCCGCGCCCGCCGAAGCGCCCUGGAACCCUGUCUGAAUAGUGAGUCUGAGUCUAUGAUUAAAUCAUUAAAACUUUCAACAACGGAUCUCUUGGUUCCGGCAUCGAUGAAGAACGCAGCGAAAUGCGAUAAGUAAUGUGAAUUGCAGAAUUCCGUGAAUCAUCGAAUCUUUGAACGCACAUUGCGCCCCCUGGCAUUCCGGGGGGCAUGCCUGUCCGAGCGUCAUUUCUGCCCUCCAGCCCGGCUGGGUGUUGGGUGUUGUCCCCCCGGGGACACGCCCCAAAGGCAGUGGCGGCGCCGCGUCGGGUCCUCGAGCGUAUGGGGCUUUGUCACCCGCUCGGGACGGACUCGUCGGCGCUGGUCUUCCUCCAGGCGACCCUUCGGGGCCCGUCUACCUUCGGUUGACCUCGGAUCAGGUAGGGUUACCCGCUGAACUUAAGCAUAUCA
RNAcentral lists this unclassified non-coding RNA (601 nucleotides) under Talaromyces rugulosus. Its description in RNAcentral is "sequence contains 18S rRNA gene, ITS1, 5.8S rRNA gene, ITS2, 28S rRNA gene". The stretch from base 226 to 379 matches the Rfam family "5.8S ribosomal RNA". Lineage: Eukaryota; Fungi; Ascomycota; Eurotiomycetes; Eurotiales; Trichocomaceae. The record is from RNAcentral.